CCAACGGCCCUCUUUAGGGCCACAAUCAUACAUACAACGAAUCGA
Molecule: non-coding RNA, 45 nt
Organism: Nippostrongylus brasiliensis
Lineage: Eukaryota; Metazoa; Nematoda; Chromadorea; Rhabditida; Heligmosomidae
Source: Rfam